AUGGUUCAUAAGGCCUGUGCUGUUUACAUGGUGAUUCCCUUGAUCCUGUUGCUUUUCUUCUUCUCUGCCAACAGCGUUUCUGCCGGAGUUUCUUACAUUCCGAAAACCAAGAAAAGGAAUCAGCAUGUGAUUAUGGAGAUUAUUCAAGGAAGGAAAAUAGGCGUACCAGUACCUACUACACCUGGAGCAAGCCAUGGUAGCGGAGGAUGAUGUAUCUCACUUCUUGGAGUUGGUACAAGGCACUUUUGCCGGCCAGUGAUCCCAUAAAUCUUAAUGCAUUAUCAGUUUCUAUUUUCGGUUGUGAGAUCUAGUCCGUCAGAACGUAAAUUAGAGCUACCAUUUUGCAUGUAAUAUAUUGGUAAUUAAGUUACAACAUUAGCAUGUUGCAUGUAAUAUGCAAUACCUGUAGUAUUUUAUUAGUGACAGUAAUUAUAAGUAUGAAAAGAUUGAAAUAUGCGGUGUCGCAUGUUAUUAUCGACUCGAUUAUGCUUGCUGAUCGAUCAGUUCCUAGUUCAUGAAAUGAAGUUGUUGAAUUUUGAUUCAACUUAGU
RNA transcript from Fragaria vesca subsp. vesca, 550 nucleotides. RefSeq lists it as uncharacterized. The record is from RefSeq and is a predicted model, not a curated record. NCBI's taxonomy places the organism in Eukaryota, Viridiplantae, Streptophyta, Magnoliopsida, Rosales, Rosaceae. The transcript has 3 exons.